UUAAGCUAGAAAGGGCGCACGGUGGAUGCCUCGGCGCCAGGAGCCGAUGAAGGGCGCGGCAAACGGCGAUACGCCCCGGGGAGCCGUAAGCAGGCGUUGAUCCGGGGAUUCCCGAAUGGGGCAACCCACCGCCCGGAAUGGGGCGGUAUCCCGGAGGUGAAUCCAUAGCCUCCGGGAGGGCACACCGGGGGAACUGAAACAUCUUAGUACCCCGAGGAGAAGAAAGCAACCGCGAUUCCCUUAGUAGCGGCGAGCGAACGGGGAAGAGCCUAAACCGGAAGGCUUUGCCUUCCGGGGUCGUGGGGCGCCUCAGAUGGGAGUGACAAAAGGCGGCGGUAGGUGAAGAGGUCUGGAAAGGCCCGCCAGAGAGCGUGACAGCCGCGUAACCGAAACCGUCGCCUCUCCCGAGGCGGACCCCGAGUACCACGGGACACGGGAAAUCCCGUGGGAAUCCGGGAGGACCACCUCCCAAGGCUAAAUACUCCCUGGCGACCGAUAGCGCACCAGUACCGUGAGGGAAAGGUGAAAAGCACCCCGGGAGGGGAGUGAAAGAGAACCUGAAACCGUGUGCCUACAAGCAGUCGGAGCGCGAUGCCCGCAAGGGCAAGCGUGACGGCGUGCCUUUUGUAGAAUGAACCGGCGAGUUACGGUCGCGUGCGAGGUUAAGGCUGGAGAGCCGGAGCCGUAGCGAAAGCGAGUCCGAACAGGGCGCUUGAGUACGCGGCCGUAGACCCGAAACCGGGUGAUCUACCCAUGCCCAGGGUGAAGUCGGGGUAAUGCCCGACGGAGGCCCGAACCGGUUGGUGGUGAAAAACCAUCGGAUGAGGUGUGGGUAGGGGUGAAAUGCCAAUCGAACCCGGAGAUAGCUGGUUCUCCCCGAAAUAGCUUUAGGGCUAGCCUCGGGAUGUGAGUGCCGGAGGUAGAGCACGGAUUGGGCUAGGGGCCCUCACCGGGUUACCGAACUCAGUCAAACUCCGAAUGCCGGCCACUCGAAUCCCGGGAGUCAGACCGCGAGCGCUAAGGUCCGUGGUCGAGAGGGGAACAGCCCAGACCGCCAGCUAAGGCCCCCAAGUGCGCGCUAAGUGGGAAAGGAUGUGGCGUUGCGAAGACAACCAGGAUGUUGGCUUAGAAGCAGCCAUCAUUUAAAGAGUGCGUAAUAGCUCACUGGUCGAGUGACGCUGCGCCGAAAAUGUACCGGGGCUAAGCGCGCCGCCGAAGCUGCGGGUGCCGCACCUUUCGGAGCGGCGCGGUAGGGGAGCGUUCCGCCCAGCGUCGAAGGCCGACCGUGAGGACGGCUGGAGCGGGCGGAAGUGAGAAUGCCGGUGUGAGUAGCGAUAAGACGGGUGAGAAUCCCGUCCGCCGGAAGCCUAAGGGUUCCUGAGGAAGGCUCGUCCGCUCAGGGUUAGUCGGGACCUAAGCCGAGGCCGAAAGGCGUAGGCGAUGGGCAACGGGUUGACAUUCCCGUACCACCUCCGCUCCGCUUGAGCGAUGGGGGGACGCAGGAGGGUAGGGGAGCGCGCGGCUGGAAGUGCGCGUCCAAACGGUUAGGCUGGCAGAUAGGCAAAUCCGUCUGCCACANCGCGCGGCUGGAAGUGCGCGUCCAAGCGGUUAGGCCGGCAGAUAGGCAAAUCCGUCUGCCACAAAGGCUGAGCCGUGAUGGCGAGGGGAAGUUCAGUACCCGAAGUCCCUGAUCCCACACUGCCGAGAAAAGCCUCUAGCGAUGGAGCGAGGUGCCCGUACCGCAAACCGACACAGGUAGGCAGGGAGAGAAUCCUCAGGCGCGCGGAAGAACCCUCGCUAAGGAACUCGGCAAAAUGGCCCCGUAACUUCGGGAGAAGGGGUGCCUCGGUAGGGUGAUGAGCCCGAGGAGGCCGCAGUGAAGAGGCCCAAGCGACUGUUUAUCACAAACACAGGUCUCUGCGAAGCCGCAAGGCGAUGUAUAGGGGCUGACGCCUGCCCGGUGCUGGAAGGUUAAGGGGAAGGGUGAGCGCCUUACGGCGCGAAGCCCUGAACCGAAGCCCCAGUAAACGGCGGCCGUAACUAUAACGGUCCUAAGGUAGCGAAAUUCCUUGUCGGGUAAGUUCCGACCCGCACGAAAGGCGUAACGACUUGGGCACUGUCUCGGCGAGGGAUCCGGCGAAAUCGUAGUACCUGUGAAGAUGCAGGUUACCCGCGACUAGACGGAAAGACCCCGUGGAGCUUUACUGCAGCCUGAUAUUGAAUUUUGGUGCGGUCUGUACAGGAUAGGUGGGAGCCUGCGAAGCCAAGCCGCCAGGCUUGGUGGAGGCGCCGGUGGGAUACCACCCUGACCGUAUCGAAAUUCUAACCCGCGGCCGUCCAUCCGGUCGGGGGACAGUGUCAGGCGGGCAGUUUGACUGGGGCGGUCGCCUCCUAAACGGUAACGGAGGCGCCCAAAGGUUCCCUCAGCGCGGUCGGAAAUCGCGCGUCGAGUGCAAAGGCAGAAGGGAGCCUGACUGCAAGACCGACAGGUCGAGCAGGGACGAAAGUCGGGCUUAGUGAUCCGGUGGUCCCGCGUGGAAGGGCCAUCGCUCAACGGAUAAAAGCUACCCCGGGGAUAACAGGCUGAUCUCCCCCAAGAGUCCACAUCGACGGGGAGGUUUGGCACCUCGAUGUCGGCUCGUCGCAUCCUGGGGCUGAAGUCGGUCCCAAGGGUUGGGCUGUUCGCCCAUUAAAGCGGCACGUGAGCUGGGUUCAGAACGUCGUGAGACAGUUCGGUCCCUAUCUGUCGCGGGCGCAGGAAAUCUGAGAGGAGCUGCCCCUAGUACGAGAGGACCGGGGUGGACGCACCGCUGGUGUACCAGUUGUCCCGCCAGGGGCACCGCUGGGUAGCCAUGUGCGGCCGGGAUAAGCGCUGAAAGCAUCUAAGCGCGAAGCCCCCCUCAAGAUCAGAUUUCCCACCGGGUAAGCCGGGUAAGACCCCUCGGAGAUGACGAGGUCGAUCGGCCCGAGGUGUAAGCGCGGCAACGCGUUCAGCCGACGGGUCCGAAUCGGUCGAGGGCUUAAC
This 3025-nucleotide ribosomal RNA is filed under the name Calditerricola satsumensis. RNAcentral describes it as "23S ribosomal RNA". It matches the Rfam family "Bacterial large subunit ribosomal RNA". The record is from RNAcentral. Lineage: Bacteria; Bacillati; Bacillota; Bacilli; Caryophanales; Bacillaceae.